GUGCUCGCUUUGGCAGCACAUAUACUAAAAUUGGAACGAUACAGAGAUUAGCAUGGCCCCUGUGCAAGGAUGACACGCAAAUUCGUGAAGCGUUCCAUUUUUUG
Molecule: small nuclear RNA, 104 nt
Filed under: Tupaia belangeri chinensis (Chinese tree shrew)
Lineage: Eukaryota; Metazoa; Chordata; Mammalia; Scandentia; Tupaiidae
Source: RNAcentral